This is a non-coding RNA of Kogia breviceps (pygmy sperm whale), 988 nucleotides long. NCBI's taxonomy places the organism in Eukaryota, Metazoa, Chordata, Mammalia, Artiodactyla, Physeteridae. The record is from RefSeq and is a predicted model, not a curated record.
AACACUGCCAAGGCUGUCCCUGCUGGAGAAAACCCUAUCUUUUCUGAGACGUAUGCGUGUGCAAUGCUGGUGACUUACCACAGGUCUUCCUGGGCCCAGGCUGCUGGUGUAUUCCUGACGCUCCGUCUGGAUUAGAGCGUGAACGGGGCAGCUCCUGUGUCUUUGCCCUGACUGUCUGCACUCAGAGGCCUCCAUGGCUGAGGGUGACGCAAUUGCAUGAGUCCUCUCGCCACCCACACAUCACAACUAGCUAUUUCCUGAUGCUUUCAAACAAAGUAGUUCUACCAGCAUAUGCGCAUAUGUUAGAAGGUAGAGUGGAGUAGUGGGGAAAAAUGAAACAAAACAAUAAACAUGGAUUCUGAGGCCAAGACUAAGGUUUGAAUCCUGGAAAUAUUUGCCCUAAUAGCUGUGUGAUCUUGGCCACGGUGGUAGACAGAAUAAUCCCUGGAACCUUUGAAUGUGUUACCUCACAAGGCAGAAGACACUUUGCAGAUGUGAUGAAGCACUUACUGGCUAUGCCAUCCGACAUGAACACCAAGGUCCUGGCUAUAUGAGUGUGACCAUCAAUGCACAGGGUUCAACACCAGUUACAGGCUUGCAGAGCUGGGCCAAAUAACCACCACCAACAGCAAGAAUAGCAGUUUAAAAAUUCCAGACACUGGUCUAAGUGUUCUAUACAUAUUAUCUUGUGUGAUUCUCACAACAGCUCCAAAAGGUUAGAAUGCGCCAAACUGAGGGAACUACAGCGGGAAAGGAGGGUACAGUGACCUUGUCAUGCUUCCUUGAUGUCCUUCCAUGGCCCUGCUGCUGCUGCUCCCGCUACUUUUUCCCCCAAAGGUACACCCACAGCAUCUUACUCCACCUGGUAGUCACUGCUUUUGAAUAAGAUUCCAUCAGACUGCCUCAAGCCCACUAACUCCUGUGUCCACUGGACACAUGGGAAUCUCAUACAUCCUCGCCCCACCAAAUGGUGGCAGUGCAGCCACCA